This 407-nucleotide ribosomal RNA is filed under the name uncultured bacterium. RNAcentral's name for it is "partial 16S ribosomal RNA". It matches the Rfam family "Bacterial small subunit ribosomal RNA", at positions 30 to 526 of the family's 1533-position model. The record is from RNAcentral.
AUUGAACGCUGGCGGCAGGCCUAACACAUGCAAGUCGAGCGGAGCGGCGGACGGGUGAGUAAUGCCUAGGAAUCUGCCUGGUAGUGAGGGAGAACUGCCGGAAACGGACGCUAAUACAGCACACUAGCAGAUGAGCCUAGGUGGGAUUGGCUAGUUGGUGGGGUAAAGGCAUACCAAGGCGACGAUCCGUAACUGGUCUGAGCGGAUGAUCAGUCACACUGGAACUGAGACACGGUCCAGACUCCUACGGGAGGCAGCAGUGGGGAAUAUUGGACAAUGGGCGAAAGCCUGAUCCAGCCAUGCCGCGUGUGUGAAGAAGGUCUUCGGAUUGUAAAGCACUUUAAGUUGGGAGGCGUUACCGACAGAAUAAGCACCGGCUAACUUCGUGCCAGCAGCCGCGGUAAUAC